Molecule: ribosomal RNA, 254 nt
Filed under: uncultured bacterium
Lineage: Bacteria
Description: partial 16S ribosomal RNA
Rfam family: Bacterial small subunit ribosomal RNA
Source: RNAcentral
GACGUAGGGCGCGAGCGUUGUCCGGAUUUAUUGGGCGUAAAGAGCUCGUAGGCGGCUUGUCGCGUCCGGCUGUGAAAACCUGGGGCUCAACCCCGGGCCCUGCAGCCGAUACGGGCAAGCUAGAAUUCGGUAGGGGGAGACUGGAAUUCCUGGUGUAGCGGUGAAAUGCGCAGAUAUCAGGAGGAACACCGGUGGCGAAGGCGGGUCUCUGGGCCGAAUUACUCUGAGGAGCGAAAGCGUGGGGAGCAAACAGG